UAAAGGAUUAUAGCAUCUAAUAUAAUGUAAAAGACCGUACAGGCUGAAGAUUAAUGUUCCCGAAUAAGGACUAAUCAUUUUGGUUUGGACUAAAUCUAGUUGAUAUAAAGAAUGUUUGAAAGAAAAACUAUUCCAGUAUAUUUUGAUCUAAUGGAAGAGGUGUUAUGGAAUUGCCAAAUGGACUCUGCACUUCAUUGCUAUGUUGCUUUCUUAACUAACAGAACAUGUUUUAGCACGUUUAGAGUCAGACAUUGCCUGAUUUAGUCAGUUUGACAAUGAGGUGAUGAGUUUAGCACAAUAAGAAUUCAAGAACUCAUUUUAUUUUAUGGUUACACAAUAAUUGAUUUGUGGUUACAUUUGUGUUGCUGCCAAUUGCAUUUUAAUAUCACUCAAAAUGUAUAAAAUCAAUAUCAAAAUGGCCCUUCGUAGUUAAUAAACACUUACACAGAGUCUAGAGGUGAAAGCUUGGCUCUGUUGAUGUCAACAGCAAAACUUCCACUGACUGCAAUGGGGCCAAGUUUCACCCUGGAUACAUUCGGGCAGGUUAUCAUAACAGUGCCUGCUUCUUUUUGUUUUUGCUUACCUAUUCGAGCUACUUCCUUCUAGACAUGAGUUCUGCUGCAAUGUGAGCAUUUGCAAUUACCAGUAGUAUAGCAAGGCGUAGGUGCAGUGCUUCCUUCUUGAUACUACAAUUACCAAGAACCAUUUUGUGAGUAGCAAAGAGUCCUGUGGCACCUUAUAGACUAACAGACGUAUUGGAGCAUGAGCUUUCGUGGGUGAAUACCCACUUCGUCGGAUGCAUGCAUAUUUUGUGAGUGUUUAGUAGGAGGUGAACUUUCAUGUCCACAUUAUCCAUUUUUUUGAAGGCUGCCUGGAUACGUAUGUCAUCACAGAAACUUGGUGGGAUAGAAGGGCACAGCUUCUUCAGGAAGGACACGCAGAGAAAAAAGCAUGGAUGUGUUGCCUUGUAUAUCAAAGAUAAUAGUAGGACCUGUUGAAAGUCUCUGGCAACACAAGGAGGCUGAAAUGAAUACAUUGGAAGUGUAUGAGCUCAGUGAGAGAAAACAUGCUCAGCAUCAGUUUAUGAACAGUGAAUAGGCUUCAGCAAAAGAGCAGGUGGUAUUAUAGGACACCAAGGCAAAGGACUGACUGGCAAUCCUUGUGUUGCAUUGCUGAGUAUGUUCAUUCCAUUCAACCCUGGAUCAGAAGAGGCAGAAACAAUUUUUUUUUACAAAAAUUAAAACUUAGAGGCUGCAGAAAGUUUCUUGGUCUCCACAUUGUGAUAAAACUAGAAUCACAAUCCCAGGGCUUACACUGACUUAAAUCAGUCUGCAGUGCAUCGUGCAGCAAUUUUUAAUGGAAGAGGAUACUUGUAAAAGCAGAGUGGCAAGAGGAAAACAAGUCAGGUUAUACUAGUCUCCCUCUCCCCCGUUAUGUGUGAAUUAGUCAAUCAACAAGCCACCUUUUUGCUGUGAGUUCUGGUUUCCUUUACUUUUCUGUUUCUAAGCAGUGUCCAUGUGGUCUCUGUUUAGUUGCUGGGAUGCAGCUGUCGCUCUUCCCCACAAGACUUGAUACAAAGGUUUUGUGGAACUGAAUAAGAGAGGAUGAUGCAUGAGUCAGGCAGGAGAGGAAGGAGAGCAAGGGUGGGUGAAGGAGUUCCAGGUAGGUAGUAUGUGAAGGGAUGACUGUGGAACAGAUGGUUUGAAGCCAUCAGCAGAGCCAGUUGGAGGUAUGAGAGGAGGCGGUGGGGCUCAUUCGUGUGAAGGUGGUGCUGUAGAUGUAGCAAGGGGUGGAGUUUGUGGAAUAGAGAGGCAUUUUGAAAGGAGGCUGUGUAGUGGUGGUUGGUCUAUUGAGCUAGGGGUGAUUUGAAGGUGGCAGGGGUCCUCUGUGACCCACUACUGAUUCUCGGCAUCAGCUGCUGCUGCUGCUUAGUCAAACUCACAUUGACUUCAGUGAGAGUUUCCCUGAGAAAGGGCUGAUUAAGAAUUUCUCCUAUGCACAAAAAUGCAUCUCUGGCUCAUUGCCACAGUAACCUUGAUAAAUGAAUCUGUCCAUUUAUCUUCAUAAAUACCUAUUUAAGUACAGUUUGGCCACUACCCUCAAGACUUUAUCAACUUCCAUUGCGCAUGACUUUCAUCACAAUUAUUUUAGGCCCUGAAGGAUGGGAAUUCAAAUUUAUUUAAUAUAAUUUAUAACAAAAGCAUAAUAUACAAAUCAAAGAACUUUGUCUCUUUCAAUUUAUGUACAGGUUAGAAAUCCAAAUCCCCACAAAAACAAAACAAAACACAGAGAGAUUCAGAAAGAAAUAGGCAACAAAGUUCCAGGAAAAUUAAAUCCCUAAUAAUUUAAUUGAUUUAAUUUUUUUUCUUUUUUACUUCUCAAAGUUAGCAGGAACCUUCUAGCCAUGCCUGUUCUUGGGAACAUUGACAUUAAUAUAGAAGGAAAUCCAGGAUUUAGUAAUGAGAAACGCUGCUUUGAAAUUCCACAACUGCACAGCAGUUCCCUCCCAACAGGAAAUCACAGGAGCAGAGGGAAAGUGGAUGGGCUGGAUCCAAGGUGCUGCACCAACACCCAGCGAGGGAGGGAGCUAAAGGUCAGCCUCACUGCUACAACUGACUCUCAGCGCUCCCCAGAACGUAUUCUACAGUCUUCUCUCAGGACGUUUACUCUGAACUCCCACUGUCCAGCUUCACCUCUACUUGUGUGAAUUUGAUUGGAGAACAGCUAAUAUCACAGGGAGAUGAAUUGUCAUUCUAAUCAAACGUUGCUGUGCCACUGACUAGCUGAUGAAGAAUAAACCUCCCAACAGAGGGAAAAGACUUUAAAAAUACAACAAAUAAUAUAAGAAAAAGCCAAAAGGAAAAAUCAAAUGAAAAUCACAACUAACAAAUGGGAACAAGUUCCCUAUGCAAGAAUAUGGAUAUAGGGGAAAAUCCACAAACAAAAUUGGGGGAAAAAACCAAAAUAAUAGAAAAUGUUGACCCAAUAAAAAAGAAAUACUGAUUUAGGAAGUAUAAAAUCAACCUAUGGAAUUCACCAUCAGAGGGAAUCAAUAAGCAGCAUAUCAUUGCUGAAUUUAAAUCAAUGUUGAAUGGCUUUAAAGCCACAGAUAAUAUUUAUAGCAACACAGGCUUAGUUAAUAAUAAGAUUAAUCAAAGCUUCUACCACAGGACAUAAAUAGAUCACUUAUGAGGAUCAAAUUUCCCCCCCAUCUCUCUUAUCAACUGCAUAGUGAAACUGAAAAAAAAUGUAUUUUGAUUUUCUCUUUCCUGUUCGUUAAUUAUCAGGUAUUGCUGACAGCCAGAAGCAGGACAUCUGACCUGAUAGACAUUGUGCCACAGAAAACACAGUCCUGGAAAUUGAUAUGGAUUGAAACUUAUUCCUCACUGGAGCAAUGUUUCUGUAAGACCACUGAAAUUAAUGUCAGUUUUGUACUUUGAAAAAAGCACACUCAUUUGUGACCACUCAAUUCUAUGACAUAUGCAGCUCUUUUGAAUACUUUAAUUUCUUCAUUCUCCACAUACUUGACGUUUUAUUUGUCUGAACUGUAUACAGGAUACUGUCUUUAGCCUCUUUUCCUCCCACUCCCGUUGAUAUUGGUUGUUUCCUCAAGUCUAAAAAUGUCAAAUAGAGACAUUAAUAUUAUGUUGGUUUGCACUACUGAAAUAAGUGUUUUGAAAAUAAUAUUAAAGAGUUACUGUCACAGGAUA
This is a non-coding RNA of Chelonoidis abingdonii (Abingdon island giant tortoise), 3710 nucleotides long. The record is from RefSeq and is a predicted model, not a curated record. NCBI's taxonomy places the organism in Eukaryota, Metazoa, Chordata, Testudines, Testudinidae.